RNAcentral lists this ribosomal RNA (775 nucleotides) under uncultured Neocallimastigales. RNAcentral describes it as "partial large subunit ribosomal RNA". It matches the Rfam family "Eukaryotic large subunit ribosomal RNA", at positions 22 to 639 of the family's 3401-position model. The record is from RNAcentral. Lineage: Eukaryota; Fungi; Neocallimastigomycota; Neocallimastigomycetes; Neocallimastigales.
GUACACGCUGUGACUAGCAUAUCAAUAAGCGGAGGAAAAGAAACUAACAAGGAUUCCCCUAGUAACGGCGAGUGAAGCGGGAAGAGCUCAAAUUUGAAAUCUUAAAGGGUUUCCCUUUACGAAUUGUAGUUUAAAGAAGUGUUUUCUGUUGAGGUUUUGGUAAAAGUUCUUUGGAAUAGGACAUCAUAGAGGGUGAGAAUCCCGUAUUUGACCUUUACUUUCAACUUUGUGAUACACUUUCAAAGAGUCGGAUUGUUUGGGAAUGCAGUCCAAAAUGGGUGGUAAAUUUCAUCUAAAGCUAAAUAUUGGCGAGAGACCGAUAGCGAACAAGUACCGUGAGGGAAAGAUGAAAAGAACUUUGAAAAGAGAGUUAAACAGUACGUGAAAUUGUCAAAAGGGAAGCGUUUGACACCAGUGUUGUUUUUCUGAAAAUCAAUUAAAGAACUGUUUAUGCUAAGCUGUUUAGACUUUAUCAGCUAUCUGUUUAGUUUUGAGCUUUUCUUUAAUGCACUUUUCAGUUAACAAGUCAACAUCAAUUUCUUUUGCCUGUAAAAAAGCUUGAGGAAGGUGGCUUGAGAUUCGUCUUAAGUGUUUAUAGCCUCUUGCCUAUGCAGUCGGAGAGAUUGAGGUCUGCAGCGUAGAUCCUUCGGGGCUAAAUGCAUUUGUGCUAAGUUAUAGCAUUUCAUAGACAACUUGUUGACUAUGAUUUGUCUUGUAGCUUACUCGCUUAUGUUAUUUUACCUACGCUUAGGAUGUUGACGCGCGUGUGUGCGUG